UACGUAGGGUGCGAGCGUUGUCCGGAAUUAUUGGGCGUAAAGGGCUCGUAGGCGGUUUGUCGCGUCGGGAGUGAAAACCUCGGGCUUAACUCGGGGCUUGCUUUCGAUACGGGCAGACUAGAGGUAUGCAGGGGAGAACGGAAUUCCUGGUGUAGCGGUGAAAUGCGCAGAUAUCAGGAGGAACACCGGUGGCGAAGGCGGUUCUCUGGGAAUAUCCUGACGCUGAGGAGCGAAAGUGUGGGGAGCGAACAGG
RNAcentral lists this ribosomal RNA (253 nucleotides) under uncultured bacterium. Its description in RNAcentral is "partial 16S ribosomal RNA". It matches the Rfam family "Bacterial small subunit ribosomal RNA", at positions 524 to 776 of the family's 1533-position model. The record is from RNAcentral.